GUGGGGGAUAUUGCACAAUGGGGGAAACCCUGAUGCAGCGACGCCGCGUGAAGGAAGACGUACUUCGGUAUGUAAACUUCUAUCAGCAGGGAAGAAGAUGACGGUACCUGACUAAGAAGCCCCGGCUAACUACGUGCCAGCAGCCGCGGCAAUACGUAGGGGGCAAGCGUUAUCCGGAUUUACUGGGUGUAAAGGGAGCGUAGACGGUGAAGCAAGUCUGAUGUGAAAACCCGGGGCUCAACUCCGGGAUUGCAUUGGCAACUGUUUUACUUGAGUGCUGGAGGGGCAAGCGGAAUUCCUGGUGUAGCGGUGAAAUGCGUAGAUAUCAGGAAGAACACCGGUGGCGAAGGCGGCUUGCUGGACAGUAACUGACGUUGAGGCUCGAAAGCGUGGGGAGCAAACAGGAUUAGAUACCCGAGUAGUCC
Molecule: ribosomal RNA, 425 nt
Filed under: uncultured bacterium
Lineage: Bacteria
Description: partial 16S ribosomal RNA
Rfam family: Bacterial small subunit ribosomal RNA
Source: RNAcentral